Molecule: long non-coding RNA, 308 nt
Organism: Photinus pyralis (common eastern firefly)
Lineage: Eukaryota; Metazoa; Arthropoda; Insecta; Coleoptera; Lampyridae
Exons: 3
Source: RefSeq, a predicted model, not a curated record
UAUUUCUGCAUAAUUUAUAGAGUUCAUGUGAAAGUCGGCGGAAUAGAAAUAAUACGUAAUAUAAGAGUCUCGACGAGGUUUUGAAAAAUGCGAUGAUUCCAAGAUGAUGUCCACCAUCCCCCAGAAAAAUGUUGAACAUUUAUUGAUGGAAUUUUGGCUGUGUGAUAUUUUCAAAAUAGUUUUGAUUAAAAACGAUUCAAUGGUCCAACGCUAGUAUCUGCACGCGUAUAAUAAACAUCUUUGUAACAAGUCUCGCCAGAAGUGUGCGAACACCACGUGCUAAUAUCAAAAAUUCUGUCCACAUUGUC